CAAAAGAAUCAUCUUGAAGCUUUAGAAUAACAUGCUGCAAUUGUAGAUGUGUCCGUAUGAUAGGGAACCAAGUCUUAGGUGUCAAAAAACUUCUUAGUAUUAAGUCAAUGGUAGUCAAGGUGAGGCCACUAUGUUCAGCAAUAGUAAUGCAAUUGCAUAAAAUAGGCAAUAGUCCUAGGCAAACAUUGGAAAUCUCUGCAAAGCCUUCAGAUUCCUUGUCUGGAGUUUUAUUGGACUCCACUGCAAAGAGAAGCAGCAUAAGCAAGACCUUCAAUGUUUUGUUAACCCCACUAACGGAUGACCGGAGGCCACUCAGCAUUUUGA
RNAcentral lists this unclassified non-coding RNA (324 nucleotides) under Hevea brasiliensis (rubber tree). Lineage: Eukaryota; Viridiplantae; Streptophyta; Magnoliopsida; Malpighiales; Euphorbiaceae. The record is from RNAcentral.